CCUACGGGGUGCAGCAGUGGGGAAUAUUGGGCAAUGGACGCAAGUCUGACCCAGCAACGCCGCGUGAAGGAAGAAGUCUUUCGGGUUGUAAACUUCUUUUAAGGGGGAAGAGCAGAAGACGGUACCCCUUGAAUAAGCCACGGCUAACUACGUGCCAGCAGCCGCGGUAAUACGUAGGUGGCAAGCGUUGUCCGGAUUUAUUGGGUUUAAAGGGUGCGUAGGCGGUUUUUUAAGUUAGUGGUUAAACGUCGGGGCUUCACCUUGAUUUGCCAUUAAUACUGUACGACUCGAGUUCAGACGAGGUAGGCGGAAUAAGUUAAGUAGCGGUGAAAUGCUUAGAUAUAAGGUAGAACGCCGAUAGCGAAGGCAGCUUACCAGACUGCGACUGACGCUGAAGCACGAGAGCGUGGGUAGCGAACAGGAUUAGAUACCCGUGUAGUC
RNAcentral lists this ribosomal RNA (441 nucleotides) under uncultured bacterium. Its description in RNAcentral is "partial 16S ribosomal RNA". It matches the Rfam family "Bacterial small subunit ribosomal RNA", at positions 338 to 795 of the family's 1533-position model. The record is from RNAcentral.